GACAGAGGGGGCAAGCGUUGCUCGGAAUCACUGGGCGUAAAGGGCGCGUAGGCGGGAUGGCAAGUCGGUCGUGAAAUCCUUCGGCUCAACCGAAGAACGUCGGCCGAUACUGCCGUUCGUUGAGGGAUGCAGAGGAGAUUGGAAUUCCGGUGUAGCGGUGAAAUGUGUAGAGAUCGGGAGGAACGACCGGUGGCCGAAGGCGGGUCUGAGC
This 211-nucleotide ribosomal RNA is filed under the name uncultured bacterium. Its description in RNAcentral is "partial 16S ribosomal RNA". It matches the Rfam family "Bacterial small subunit ribosomal RNA", at positions 524 to 734 of the family's 1533-position model. The record is from RNAcentral.